CUGCUCAUCCACCCUCAAGAAAGGACACCAGAAUAUAUUCCUGCUGAACUUCUAUUUCCCCGCAAAUCUUCUCUUUGUUAGCUCCAUUUUCUUCCAUGAUGAGUUGGAUGAAGUGUUGUGUGUUCCCCCUGGUGCUGCUGUGCAUGUGGCAGCUGCAAGAAGGAGCCCACGCCUGCACGUGUGUGUAUGACCAUCCACAGACGCAGUUCUGCCAGUCCGAUGUCGCCAUCAAGGCAAAGGUGGUUGCAAAGAAGGCUGUUGGUGGUAAAUUUGACAAUGUGAUCAACUAUGACAUCAAACUGAUCAAGAUUUUGAAAGGCCCUAAAAGACACCAUGAUACCAUCUGCACUGCAUCCUCCUCUGCGGCAUGUGGUGUGACUCUGAACAAAGGUGCAUGUCUUUGGAAGUGGGAGGAAGCCGGAGUACCCGGAGGGAACCCACGCAUUCACGGGGAGAACAUGCAAACUCCACAGAAAGAUCCCGAGCCUGGAUUUGAACCCAGGACUGCAGGAACUUCGUAUUGUGAGGCAGAUGCACUAUUUUAUCAAAGGCCAACUGAAGCCAGACGGGUCUUUGUACGUGUCAUCCUGUAACUACCCUGGAAAAGCAGCCACAAGAUCCUGGUAAAACGUUAUCUGAUGGGCUGUGAUUGCAUGAUCAAUCGCUGCACCGCUGUCCUAAGUGACAACACUGGUCCAACUGAGUGCUUAUGGGCUGACUGGGAAUUGGCUCAAUAACGAGGGCGACAAUGUGCUUGCAUCAAGAGAAGUGAUGGUUCUUGUUCCUGGUAAAAGUAGGCUGCCUCGCACAAAAAGGGUUAAUGAACACUAUAGACCUUUGAAACCUCAUACAAAACAUGUCAAUUACGAAUAAAUCUCUUUAAAGCAA
Nerophis ophidion (straightnose pipefish) is the source of this 888-nucleotide RNA transcript. It is a transcript of the gene named metalloproteinase inhibitor 2-like, with no coding region annotated. The transcript is spliced from 6 exons. NCBI's taxonomy places the organism in Eukaryota, Metazoa, Chordata, Actinopteri, Syngnathiformes, Syngnathidae. The record is from RefSeq and is a predicted model, not a curated record.